This 494-nucleotide ribosomal RNA is filed under the name uncultured bacterium. Its description in RNAcentral is "partial 16S ribosomal RNA". It matches the Rfam family "Bacterial small subunit ribosomal RNA", at positions 28 to 507 of the family's 1533-position model. The record is from RNAcentral.
GACGAACGCUGGCGGCGUGCUUAACACAUGCAAGUCGAACGGAAAGGCCUGCUUUCCCUUGUGGAUUGCGGGUACUCGAGUGGCGAACGGGUGAGUAACACGCGAGUGAUCUGCCCCCAACUUGGGUAUAAGCCUGGGAAACGGGGUCUAAUUCCCGAUAGGACGGCAGGGUGGUGCCUGUGGUGGAAAACGAUUUUCUAGUGGUUGGGGAUGAGCUCGCGGCCUAUCAGCUUGUUGGUGGGGUAAUGGCCUACCAAGGCGGCGACGGGUAGCCGGCCUGGGAGGGUGCACGGCCACAUUGAGACUGAGAUACGGCCCAGACUCCUACGGGAGGCAGCAGUGGGGAAUAUUGCACCAUGGGCGGAAGCCUGAUGCAGCGACGCCGCGUGGGGGAUGACGGCCUUCGGGUUGUAAACUCCUUUCGACCGCGAGGAAGCCACCUGGUUGGAAGGGUGGUGACGGUAGUGGUAGAAGAAGCACCGGCUAACUACGUG